RNAcentral lists this ribosomal RNA (426 nucleotides) under uncultured bacterium. Its description in RNAcentral is "bacterial SSU rRNA". It matches the Rfam family "Bacterial small subunit ribosomal RNA", at positions 354 to 796 of the family's 1533-position model. The record is from RNAcentral.
GUGAGGAAUUUUCCGCAAUGGGCGAAAGCCUGACGGAGCAAUGCCGCGUGAAGGAUGAAGGCCUAUGGGUUGUAAACUUCUUUUCUCAGAAAAGAAUUAUGACGGUAUCUGAGGAAUAAGCAUCGGCUAACUCUGUGCCAGCAGCCGCGGUAAGACAGAGGAUGCAAGCGUUAUCCGGAAUGAUUGGGCGUAAAGCGUCUGUAGGUUGUUUAAAAAGUAUUCUGUCAAAGAUUAGGGCUUAACCCUAGAUAGGCAGAAUAAACUUUUAAGCUAGAGUUUGGUAGAGGCAGAGGGAAUGCCCGGUGGAGCGGUGAAAUGCGUAGAUAUCGGGAGGAACACCAAAGGCGAAGGCACUCUGCUGGGCCAAUACUAACACUGAGAGACGAAAGCGAGGGGAGCAAAUGGGAUUAGAAACCCUAGUAGUCC